This 467-nucleotide ribosomal RNA is filed under the name uncultured bacterium. RNAcentral describes it as "bacterial SSU rRNA". It matches the Rfam family "Bacterial small subunit ribosomal RNA", at positions 37 to 518 of the family's 1533-position model. The record is from RNAcentral.
UGGCGGCGUGCCUAACACAUGCAGGUCGAGCGAGGAGAGUCCUUCGGGAUGAUCCUAGCGGCGGACGGGUGAGUAACACGUGGGCAACCUGCCUCAUAGAGAGGAAUAGCCUUCCGAAAGGGAGAUUAAUACCUCAUAACAUUGCAGUUUCGCAUGGGAACAGCAAUUAAAGGAGCAAUCCGCUAUGAGAUGGGGCCCGCGGCGCAUUAGCUAGUUGGUGAGGUAACGGCUCACCAAGGCGACGAUGCGUAGCCGACCUGAGAGGGUGAUCGGCCACAUUGGGACUGAGACACGGCCCAGACUCCUACGGGAGGCAGCAGUGGGGAAUAUUGCACAAUGGGGGAAACCCUGAUGCAAGCAACGCCGCGUGAGUGAUGACGGCCUUCGGGUUGUAAAGCUCUGUCUUCAGGGACGAUAAUGACGGUACCUGAGGAGGAAGCCACGGCUAACUACGUGCCAGCCGCUGC